RNAcentral lists this ribosomal RNA (253 nucleotides) under uncultured bacterium. RNAcentral's name for it is "partial 16S ribosomal RNA". It matches the Rfam family "Bacterial small subunit ribosomal RNA", at positions 524 to 776 of the family's 1533-position model. The record is from RNAcentral.
UACGGAGGGAGCUAGCGUUGUUCGGAAUUACUGGGCGUAAAGCGCGCGUAGGCGGCUUUGUAAGUUAGAGGUGAAAGCCCGGGGCUCAACCCCGGAACAGCCUUUAAGACUGCAUCGCUAGAAUCCGGGAGAGGUGAGUGGAAUUCCGAGUGUAGAGGUGAAAUUCGUAGAUAUUCGGAAGAACACCAGUGGCGAAGGCGGCUCACUGGACCGGCAUUGACGCUGAGGUGCGAAAGCAUGGGGAGCGAACAGG